CCCACGUUGUUUUUUUUUCUUCUUCUCUUUCCUUUCGGCUGGAUGCAGAGUUAUGGACGCUAUAGUUCUACAAAGUAUUGUUGGGUUUUAUGGUAUAGUUGUGCGUGCAUGCUGAAACUCGCAUUCCAAGUUUUGAAGUGACGACAUGCGUGCUCCCGUUUCUUGGAGAUCCGAGAAAUAUCUCGGAACAGCACAGAGGAUCCCGAGUUCCGAAUCCAAGAUGGCUGCGCCCUUUAGCAACAGAAGGGGAAGUUGUAGUUUUAUACUGUUUAAGCACUACUUCUCAUUUGUGGCUCAUUAAAUGGCACACACUAUACCGUCCAACUUAUCUGCGGAUCAGCUGUUUUGUAGCAUGUAAUGUGUUAUCAACUGGUAUUGCUAACAAUGGUUAACAAUUAACCAGGCUAGAACUGGAUUUCAUGAUUAUCCAUCCAUCCAUCCAUUUUCCAAACCGCUUAUCCUAUUGGGUCGCGGGGGGUCCGGAGCCUAUCCCGGAAUCAAUGGGCACGAGGCAGGGAACAACCCAGGAUGGGGGGCCAGCCCAUCGCAGGGCACACUCACACACCAUUCACUCACACAUGCACACCUAUGGGCAAUUCAGCAACUCCAAUUAGCCUCAGCAUGUUUUUGGACUGUGGGGGGAAACCGGAGUACCCGGAGGAAACCCCACGACGACAUGGGGAGAACAUGCAAACUCCGCACACAUGUGACCCAGGCGGAGACUCGAACCCGGGUCCCAGAGGUGUGAGGCGACAGUGCUAACCACUGCACCACCAUGCCGCCGAUUUCAUGAUUAGUCGGAUUAAUUUUAAUUUUACUAAUUUUAAGUGAACGAAGAUAAAGGCCAUUUAAACUGAGGUGCCUUAAAUCUGACAAGUUGUCCAGCUAAGCAAAAAAUCUUGCUUUGUCAUAUGGAUCCAUGGUAUUGCAUAUGUCCCAAGGCAUAUGGAACACACAAUAACUUUCGGUUGAGCACAGGGGGAUUGAGGUCCAAUUUAAGGGGGUCCAGGGGGUUGUAUUAGCUGGUUUUGAUUAUUUGGGGGGGGUGUUUACAACCCGCAUCCCCCCAUAAUUUACACCCAUGGUCAGACUAAAAAUAUGACUUUUUGACAUUGCACAGUGAGCUAAUGAAUAUGUUCAAUAAACCUAGUUAAAUAAUGUCCAUGUAAACCAGAUUUUAACCCCCCAAUGGGUGAAAACACCUGCAAUGCUCUAUAUGUAGGAGGUACCCAGUCUACUUUGUCCUGCCUUCAGUUAGUUACAAAUGUUGCAGCUAAUCUAACAACUGGGACUAAAAAGAGGGAUCACAUCACACCAGUCCUGGCCUCAUUACUCUGACUUCCAGUCUGUUUUAGGAUAAAGUUUAAAAAUUUACUGUUUGUUUUUAAAGCUUUACAUCGGUUGGCCCCUCCCUACAUUCUUGACCUGCUCCACAUUUAGUGGUUUCACUUUUACUUUUCGUUUUUUAUUAAAAUAUUCAAGCACGAUUGAAGUGUAAGAGUGAUGGUGCUUUCUCUGUGUACACACUCACAAAACUGGAACAGUUUACCACUUGGCAUCAGAUCCUCACUAUCCUUCAGUACUUUUAAACCUAGAAGUAAAACCUGCUUGUAAACAUUUUGCUUGGCGUCACUAUUUAUCUUGCUUUAUGUUUCCAUUUUUGUUUUCUGUGUAUUUUGUAGAUUGUUCGGUUUGAUUGAAAUUGUAUGUAUUUUUUGGCAUUGUAUUUUUCUCUCUUGUACUGUUUGACUUUCCCUGAGGGUUGUACCACACUUUGGUCAACAACUGUUGUAUUAAAUGUGCUUUAUAGAAAAGUAAAGAAAGUAAAGAAGA
Molecule: long non-coding RNA, 1833 nt
Organism: Brienomyrus brachyistius
Lineage: Eukaryota; Metazoa; Chordata; Actinopteri; Osteoglossiformes; Mormyridae
Exons: 2
Source: RefSeq, a predicted model, not a curated record